Molecule: ribosomal RNA, 557 nt
Filed under: uncultured Rhizobium sp.
Lineage: Bacteria; Pseudomonadati; Pseudomonadota; Alphaproteobacteria; Hyphomicrobiales; Rhizobiaceae
Description: bacterial SSU rRNA
Rfam family: Bacterial small subunit ribosomal RNA
Source: RNAcentral
ACGGGUGAGUAACGCGUGGGAAUCUACCCAUCUCUGCGGAAUAGCUCUGGGAAACUGGAAUUAAUACCGCAUACGCCCUACGGGGGAAAGAUUUAUCGGGGAUGGAUGAGCCCGCGUUGGAUUAGCUAGUUGGUGGGGUAAAGGCCUACCAAGGCGACGAUCCAUAGCUGGUCUGAGAGGAUGAUCAGCCACAUUGGGACCGAGACACGGCCCAAACUCCUACGGGAGGCAGCAGUGGGGAAUAUUGGACAAUGGGCGCAAGCCUGAUCCAGCCAUGCCGCGUGAGUGAUGAAGGCCUUAGGGUUGUAAAGCUCUUUCACCGAUGAAGAUAAUGACGGUAGUCGGAGAAGAAGCCCCGGCUAACUUCGUGCCAGCAGCCGCGGUAAUACGAAGGGGGCUAGCGUUGUUCGGAAUUACUGGGCGUAAAGCGCACGUAGGCGGAUAUUUAAGUCAGGGGUGAAAUCCCGCAGCUCAACUGCGGAACUGCCUUUGAUACUGGGUAUCUUGAGUAUGGAAGAGGUAAGUGGAAUUCCGAGUGUAGAGGUGAAAUUCGUAGA